This 71-nucleotide transfer RNA is filed under the name Trichechus manatus latirostris (Florida manatee). RNAcentral's name for it is "tRNA-Lys (TTT) (tRNA-Lys-TTT-15-1)". It matches the Rfam family "tRNA". From Rfam's summary of the family: Transfer RNA (tRNA) molecules are approximately 80 nucleotides in length. Lineage: Eukaryota; Metazoa; Chordata; Mammalia; Sirenia; Trichechidae. The record is from Rfam by way of RNAcentral.
GCAAUGGUGGUUCAGUGGUAGAAUUCUCACCUUUUAUGAGGGAGACCUGGGUUCAAUUCCUGGCCAUUGCC